AUACUCAAAAGUAUUAUAUCCACCUAAAGACUCAUAAAUGGAGAAUCAUAAGAAUCCAGCGAGUGGACCUACCACAUCAGCAUGUUUUAUAGUGAUUAGUGAUUGGGAUCAGCAUAUUAGUUGUCAAGUGAUUAAGGGAUUGGUUUGGGUAUGCGAUAGUUUGCCAUGCUUUAGCCUUCACCCUAGCCUUGCUGCCAUAAGGCUCUAUAUAAGUUCUUUUGUUUGCUUCCUCUUUUGGUUCUCUGUGUUGUAUUUCAUUUAGAGUGAAUAAAAGCAGUUUAACUACUUUGAACCUUAUAAGAGACACAUGUUAGCUAUGGGGUUUAAGUGUUUAACUAAUAUCUUGUAAGACCCAAGUAUUUCUCUCUUAACUAGCUUUUGGGGAAAAGAACUUUUAGAUUUCAAAGCUUAAUCCUUUAUAUCUACAAGUGUCUCUGCAAUUGUUAUUUUAUACAAUUAGGAAGUUUGAACCAAAAUAUCAUUAAUAUCAUAAAACAUAACUUCCCAAAGGUUUGUGUAUGUUAUUUGCAAUGGCCAAUGAGACUGGAAUUCGCUUGAGAAGGAAAGUUUCAGAGAACCAAUCUUUUUUGAACCAAUCAUAUAACCAAAACUUGAAGAUAGAUUUCUUCAGAAAAUACAUAUGUUACGUGAUCACAAGAUUGGGUGCAUAAUUUUUUUUAUGAAAAGGUUUUGAGAAUUAGGUUUAAUAAGAAGAAAGUUACAAAAAGAAGAGAAAAUUAUUUGAAAGAAAUAUCUGUUUAUGGUUGUGUUAUUAAUUUUGUAAAUUAAAAACGAUACAUUAAUUCCUUAGUUUGAAAUUUUGUUAGACUAUUUUGUUAAUAUGAUUUUUGUUAACUUUAGUAUAACAUCGUCAAAUUUUUAAAAGACCUAAAAUAGAUAUUUUGUAAGCAUUUGGAUAUGGUGAGUAGAAAUUCCAUCUUGGAUAUUAAAGUCUCUUGGUCCCAGCUUUCGCAUGCGUAGUAAGUAGUACACUGUGUAUUCAAGAAACAAAAAGGUUGUCCAAAGAUUUUUUACUUUUCACAAGAUUUGUUAUAGAUUAUACAAAGUUGAAUCAAGAAAGUUAAUAUAUAUCUCAAAAUAAAACUCUAGUUCUCAAUAAAUAGACAGCAAAACCCAUACUGUCUUUCACAGCAACUCGACAAUGUCUUCAACAAAACCCACAUCACUCAUCGUCUCCAUCACCUUCUUCUUCUUCUUCUGUCUUCUCGUCCAACCCUCAUCGGCCCAAACCGUCGUUAAAGGGUCGUACUGGUUUCCAGAGAGUGAAUUCCCAGUUACCGACAUUAACUCAUCUCACUUCACUCACCUCUUCUGUGCUUUCGCUGAUCUCAACUCUCAAAACAAUCAAGUCACUAUCUCCUCCACCAACCAACCAAAAUUUUCAACCUUUACACAAACCGUGCAAAGGAGAAACCCUUCAGUGAAAACCCUUAUGUCUAUCGGCGGUGGAAUCGCUAAUAAAUCCGCGUUUGCUUCCAUGGCAAGUAACCCAACAUCUCGAAAAUCAUUCAUCGAUUCGUCUAUUAGACUUGCUAGGUCCAAUGGAUUUCAUGGUCUUGAUCUGGACUGGGAGUAUCCGAGUAGUGCAACGGAGAUGAACAACUUCGGGACGCUACUUCGAGAAUGGCGAUCUGCGGUUGCAGCAGAAGCAAGUAGCACUAGUAGACCGCGUUUGCUUUUGGCGGCUGCGGUUUUCUACUCUUCUGAUUACUAUUCUGUACUGUACCCGGUUCAAGCUGUUGCCAGUAGCUUAGAUUGGGUUAAUCUUAUGGCCUAUGAUUUUUAUGGACCAGGUUGGUCCACCGUAACCGGUCCACCCGCCGCCCUCAAUAGUCCUUCAAACGCAGGUCCGAGUGGCGACGCUGGAGUGAGGGCAUGGAUUCAAGCCGGACUUCCAGCAACGCAAUUAGUCUUGGGAUUUCCUUACUACGGCUACGCAUGGCGUCUCUCAAACGCCAACAGUCCUAGCUAUUACGCAGCCACCACUGGAUCGGCAAUUUCACCGGACGGUUCGAUAGGAUACGGUCAGAUAAGAAAGUUUAUAGUGGAUAACGGAGCGACAACGGUUUAUAAUUCCACAGUGGUCGGAGAUUACUGUUAUGCUGGGACGACUUGGAUAGGGUAUGAUGAUAAUCAGAGUAUCGUGACGAAAGUGAGAUACGCUAAGCAGAAAGGUCUGCGUGGUUACUUCUCGUGGCAUGUUGGAGCUGACGAUAACUCUGGUCUAUCUCGUUCAGCGUCACGGGCAUGGGAUGCUACCACGGUUAUCCGAAGGAAGUUUUAAAGUUUCAGCUGUUCCGACAACGGCUAGUGAAGAUGUUUGUUUUUGUAACAAACAAAAGAUUAACGUUAUCUGCUUUAUAUCUUCAUAUCAUGUCUAGGGAGGGAAAGAUAAAAGGCAAGAAACAUACCAUUUAUAAGCAAGUCUCACACUAAUGACAACCAUAGAUUAGUCUGUGUUUCGGUUUAGGAUUAGGAAACUCGGUUCUCAAAAAAUAUGUAAGAGAUUUAUGUAUAAAAAUCUCUUAUUAUGUAUAAUAUUUAUAUAUAAAAAUCUCGGUUCACACUAAUCGCAACCAUAGAUUAAUUUGUGUUUUGGUUUAGGAUUAGGAUACUCGGUUCUCAAUUAAUAUGUAAGAGAUUUAUAUAUAAAAAUUUAUGAUAUGCUGCUCUCUUCUCAUGACCAUUUAUAAGCAAUUCUCACACUAAUGGCAACCAUAGAUUAGUCUGUGUUUCAGUUUAGAAUUAGGAAAUUCGGUUCUCCAAAAAUAAGUCCUAGAUUCACAUGAUUUAUAUGGGGAAAGAUGCCUAUAGUUGAACAUUUAUGAGCAUUGUUAAAAAAUAAAUAGGUUCUGUGGAAUAUGCGUUAUGUUUAAGAGAGUUAACACUUAAGAAUCGAAGGGUAACAUUUUCUCUGGGGGCAUGCUUGGGCAUAAGGCUACAGAACGAGGAAACAAGUCGAGAUAGGUCAAUAAAUGUUAGUUUACUUUUUUGAACUUUUUAUUAGUUUACUUGAAAACAUGAAUUGGUCCACAAAAGCAACAUAAACAUUCUUUUUUUUUGUCACAAAGCAACAUAAACAUUCAAAAGCCAAAAUAAACAGAAGACCAUCGUAUGAGGUCUAAUCAAUUUUGUCCAUUUCUUCUAUACACUACUCAACUUUUGUUUAAUGGUACACGAAUAAAUAAAGAAAACCCACAUUUUUUGAUAUGGAACGUACUCAAUAACUUUAGUAAAAAACGCUAUAUAUACCAUACAAUCAGAACUAUAGUUUAAUUUUUAAAUAACAAAAAGGUUAUAUACUGCAGUCUAGUUUAAACUUGUUGGUAAUUCUUUAUAACUUUGAUUUUUCUUCUGGUCAUUCAGUAAGUCAUACUCCAUUCGUUUCAAUAUAAAUGAUGUUUUAAAAGGAAUAUUUUUUUUUCAAUUUAUAUGAAAUUUCUAAGAUUUAAAAUUAAUUUGAAUUUUAUUGGAAACUGUUCAAUCAAUUAAAUUUUACAGUUUUUAUAAUUAGUUAAAUGAUUUAAAAAAUUUAUCUUUAAAAAUAUUUUUUAAAAUAUAAAUUUCUUAAUCUUUAUGCACUAAGUAAAUGGUUCCAUUAAAUAUAACACUAUAAAUAACAUUUGUUUCCAGUGUAAAUUACAUAACCCUCCAAAUAACAUUUUCCAUUGUAAAUUAUAAAACAAAUGUAUGCAGUUAUAAGACAAAUGCUCCUGCUAUAAAAUACUAGUAACUCUUAAACCAGAAGUUUAAACGCAUGGCAACAACAACAACAAAUUAUCAGAUUAAUAAUACAAUUGUUAACUAAUUUUUGGUGCAAUUAUAUUUGUUAACUUGCUUAUUAUAGUAAAAUUUAUCACCUUUAAAUAAAAACUAAACAUAUACAAAUUACCCUACACUUCUUUUAAAAUAUAAAAUAUCACAUUCUAACAAAUUAAAAUAGUAUAACUGGAAACGAGUGUGGAUAACUUGAAAAGUAACGUCGACAUAGUAAUUUUACAAUUUCUCAAAUCCUCUAUAUUGGCAUAUAAAUAUAUUUGGAUGACAAUAAAAACAUAUAGUCAAAUACAGUAAUAUUCAUGUUUACUUAUAUAUUUUGGUAAGAAAUCUUACGAGUUCCCGAUUUGAAAAACUUGUGCAUAACCGGGCACGUUAAUUACAAACACACUCUAUAUACAUACGCGUUAUGCACAAGUUUUAUGUUCACUACCAAAAAAUACAGUAAUAUUCAUGUUUGGUAAUGCGCUAUAUUCAAGUUUAUAAACACACUCUAUAUACAUACGCGUUAUGCACAAGUUCUAUAUAUCUUUAGUUUUACUGUAUUUUUUGGUAGUGUGGUAAUAUUCUUUUAAUGUAAACAAAAUCAUAAUGCAGUGUUGGUUGAGUUCAAGAUUAGCACGGUAGUCGAUGUUCGUCCAAAUCAUGACAUUGUAAUUCAUAUAAUAACCGGAAACUAUAUCUAGUGUAAUUUAAAUACCUGACGUAUGGUAGACAACUUCGAAGUACAUGCAUAUAACAAAUUUUAGAACAUGAGAACUAUAAGAAAAUGUAAAUUUGCUCCGAUUCAUACACAUUAUAUAUGGGGUCCUUUUCUUUCUAACUUUUGAAGAUGUGUGAUUUAGUAUUUCAUAUUUAACUGUGUAAAUAUUAUAUAUUAAGUUUAAAACUUCUGAGCAAAACAUAUUAAUUUGAAUAAACAUUCUUGACAGAUAUGGUUUUUUAAUAUUAAAGUAAAAAAAUAAUAUUUGUGAUUUAAAUAAAUAUAACCAGAUUUUCGUUUAUAAAUAUAUGGUUUAAAUAAAAUCAUAUGUGCAAAACAUAUUAAUUUGAAUAAAAUCUUCUUAACAGAUAUGGCUAUUUCAAUAUUAAAGUUAAAAACUAUGUGUGUGAUUCAAAUAUCAUAGAAAACACAUUUUCGUUUCUAAAUAUUAUAUAUUAAGUUUAAAUAAAAUCUUUUGAGCAAAACAUAUAAAUUUUAAUAAAAUCUUCUUAACAUAUAUGUUUUUUUCAAUAUUAAAGUAAAAAAUAGUAUUUGUGAUUCAAAUAAAAUCGAACACACAUUUUCGUUUCGAAAGAUAUGGUUAAAAUAAAAUCAUCUGAGCAAAACAUAAUUUGAAUAAAAUCUUCUUAACAGAUAUGGUUAUUUCAAUAUUGAAGUAAAAAAAUCAUAUAUGUGAUUCAAAUAUCAUAGAAAACACAAUGUUUUUUUUCUAAACAUUAUAUAAUAAAUUUAAAUAAAUUUUUCUUAACAUAUAUGGUUUUUCAAUAUUAAAGUAAAAAACAGAAUUUAUGAUCCUAAUAUCAUAAAAAACAUAUUUUUCGUUUCUGAAGAAAACCAUUUUUGUUCCAUUUGCUAACUUUUAUAAAUUGUUCUUCAGCAGAUAUGUUUUUUUUAUUAAAGCUGUCAAAUAAAUUUUGUGCUUAUAGAAUAUCAUUUUAAAGAAUAUAAAUAAAGUCAUGACUAUUAUUGGACAGUCGUGGUUUGUCAUGCAACUAAACCAUGAUACAUUGGUUUUGGUUGAACCAAUCAAACAAUCCGAAUAUAAACUAAGUUAUAGAUCACAUUGCAUACACGCCAACAAACAUGUUAUGUAAAUGUAAAUAAAACAUAUGCUAAGCUACAAUUAAUGAAUAAUACAAUUAAUGAAUAAUGGUAAAUAAUGUAAUAAGUUUA
This is an RNA transcript of Brassica rapa (field mustard), 5695 nucleotides long. It is a transcript of the gene named class V chitinase, with no coding region annotated. The record is from RefSeq and is a predicted model, not a curated record. NCBI's taxonomy places the organism in Eukaryota, Viridiplantae, Streptophyta, Magnoliopsida, Brassicales, Brassicaceae.